UACGUAGGUGACAAGCGUUGUCCGGAUUUACUGGGCGUAAAGAGCGCGCAGGCGGUCGUUCAAGUCGAGUGUGAAAGCCCCCGGCUCAACUGGGGAGGGUCACUCGAUACUGAUCGACUUGAAGGCAGGAGAGGGAAGCGGAAUUCCCGGUGUAGUGGUGAAAUGCGUAGAUAUCGGGAGGAACACCGGUGGCGAAGGCGGCCUUCUGGACAGUGACUGACGCUGAGACGCGAAAGCGUGGGGAGCAAACAGG
Molecule: ribosomal RNA, 253 nt
Filed under: uncultured bacterium
Lineage: Bacteria
Description: partial 16S ribosomal RNA
Rfam family: Bacterial small subunit ribosomal RNA
Source: RNAcentral